Molecule: long non-coding RNA, 2218 nt
Organism: Passer domesticus (house sparrow)
Lineage: Eukaryota; Metazoa; Chordata; Aves; Passeriformes; Passeridae
Exons: 9
Source: RefSeq, a predicted model, not a curated record
CCCGCGGGCCCGGGCGCCGCAGCGGGGACAGGAGGGACUCGUCCUUUCCCGUGCACCCGCCACGAUGCCGGGCGGCGGCUUGCGGCCGCUGCGGGAGGCGGGGGCGGUGUGCCGAGCGGAGGGGAGGCAGGGGCGCAGUGAGGGCAGGUGAGGGCAGAAGGCUCGGUUGCCAUGGCCGAUACGGCGGGUCCCCGGCUGGCAGCCCCGGGCCCUCUCCCCGCCUCAGAGCUCCCCCUCCUCCACCACGUGCAGCAUCUUCCCGGCGGGGAGCAGCAAUCCCCGUGGGGACUGCCUGUCCCUUCCGCUGCACGGAGUAUUUCUAGCCCUCAUCCUUGCCCGCCGCGCUGGCUUCCCCUAGGCGUUUUCCUUCCCACCUGCACGCUCCUUAUCAUCCCUCCGCAGCCGCUCCUGGGAAGAUGCCGAUACCUUUUAUCUAGGCACGCGAUCCACUCGCCGGAGGACGAGGAAUGGGAGGCGUGAGCGGCGACCAUGUUGGACCGGGAUCAGGUUGCCGCGCACCCGGCUGGCGGCGGCUCCCCCCGCCCGGGCGCCGGUCGGUCGGUCCGUCCGUCCGUCCUCGCUGCCUCCCCGCGCGCGCGGCGCGAUGGGCUCGCCCAGGCCCCGCCGCAGCGGCCGCGCGGGUCCGCCCGCCGCCCUCACGGGUCCGCCCGCCGCCCUCACGGGUCCUGCGGCCGCCGGGACAGCCGGCCCUGCUCCCGCGCAGCCGGCAGGGAGCGGCCCGGGGAGGGGGAGGAAAGAAGUCACUCCCCUUCUAAAAGGUGGUGUCCCCCUCCAGCUUUCGUGAGCUCCUCAGUGCCCACACCUGAAGCCGGCUCCUGAUCCCUCCCCUUGCUUCACCUUGGCUUGGUUUCAAUUGGAGGGGCAAUACAAGUGUUUUAAUUGAAAUAAGCAGCUCAGGAGUAUUUUAUCGGCGCUCCAGAGCGUGUCCCGUCCCUCCGCCCCCAGCAAUAAAGGCACAGUGGGUGAGUGAAAGGAAGGUGCUGUCCACAUUUCAGGAUUUUUCCUGGACCCUUCCUCCAGCCCGCUGUCACCUCCCAUGAAACUGUGUGCUAAAGUCUCUCAUUUCAUGUGCGUGGAAAACGAGCUGGGCAGUACAGCCUGUGAGGAGGAUUUGACACUUGGAAGGAACACAACACGUAGCAUGAGAAAGCUGAAACUGGCUUCUUACUUAGAAGGACCCUAUCACAGGCAAUGGCAGUGUUACCAUCUCAGUAAUACAGACUUGGAUAUCUGUGCCUAACACCGUAAACCAUCACUUGAAUCAGGCUGCUGGGGCACCUAUGUUCCUGUAAGCAUGGCUGAACCGUUACAUCUCUGGGACUUUGUGACCUUGCAAAGUGGGGUGUCAAGAUGAAAAGCAAAAGGUUCCAGGAGCCUAGUGCCAACACCAUGCUUUCUAUAGGAAGUUCCUAGAUCUUUUGAUUGCAAAGUGAAUGAAGGAAGAGUAUUGGAGAAAUCCUGAGCAUGUGGAAAAGCCUGAUAAUGACCAACAGUAGGCGUAUCGCUGCUGCUAGGGCUCAGAGCAGGACAGAGGAGAGAUGUUCUGCUUGCAUGAGGAAGAUGUCAUUAAAUUCAAACCAAGAUACCAUAAGGUUAAGAGGAUGGAUUUACAGCAGUGGUAGAUGAGGAAAGAAAGACAGUACCUGUCAUGUACCUGUCAAAAAACACUUGACACUGUCCUGCACAACAUCCUUGACUCUAAACUGCAGAGGUGUGGGUUUGAUGGAUGGAGUACUCAAUGGAUAAGGAUAUGGCUGGAUGGUCACACUCAAAGAGUUGUUGUCAGUGCCUUGAUGUCCAAGUGGAGUCAAACAAGGUGUUUAUCACCUUGUUACACUCCAAGCUGGGAUAAAGAAACUCUCACUCAGCAUAGUUCUUCUUCUGCAACAUAUGCAUGUAAACAACUGCUUCUGGCAUGGAAGUUUAUUGGAGGGUAAGUCAAAAUAGAAGUUCACUAUCAACAUUUGUUCUGUUAACAUCAAACCAAACAAGUUUGCAAGUUUUGUCUUUGGUGAAUCUAUAUGCCCUGAAACCCUGGAGCCACAGGAGGGGUCACACUGCCUUCUUCACAAAACACCACUAAGUGGUGCCUUUCCUUCCCAUCAUCUGAUUGAGAUUGUGGCCUUAUAUGCAAGGCCUUAGACAAUGUCAAACAGAAUAUUAAAAUCUAAUAUUUUCUUUUGACAUGUGUCUUCAG